This 1306-nucleotide long non-coding RNA is filed under the name Phasianus colchicus (ring-necked pheasant). RNAcentral describes it as "lncRNA (ENSPCLG00000015860.1)". The record is from RNAcentral. Lineage: Eukaryota; Metazoa; Chordata; Aves; Galliformes; Phasianidae.
AAAACAGCUGUUUUCAGUGCAGAUUUGUUAAUUUACCAAACUAUUGAAAACAGAGCUCUUCUCACUUCCUCUCCACUGUUUUGGUCACUAAAUUCUCAGUGAAGACUUCUAGAGAAUUACACAAUUGUAAUGAGAACACUUCUGCAGUGACAUUACACUACGUUACAAGAAGUGAAGCAUGCAUGAGAAGUAGUGCUGGUUACUACAGGAGCCAAGAUUGGAUUUGUGCGCCUGGCAACUAGGUGAAAAACAAAACAAACAAAAAAUCUGAAAGUUUAAAAUAAAACCACAAACAAACUGAGAAGAGAAGAGAAGAGAAGAGAAGAGAAGAGAAGAGAAGAGAAGAGAAGAGAGAAGAACUACAAAACUCACCACCCAAAUAUUAGAAAUAAACCAUCCUCUCAACAUGACAAAAAGCACAUCUGGUACCAGAAUGAAGGCACAAUAAAUAUGAUUUUUUAUACUGUUUUACAGGGCAAAAUCAUACCUGAGAUGACACCUUAAGUUUUUAUGCAGUGACUAAGUUUUGCUACUUUGUUAUACACAUCAGAUUCUUUUAUUUCUUAAGACUUAAAACAAGUAUUUUUAGGAUUUAUUAGUAAAACAUAGGAAAGGUUAAUCAACCAGUUUAAAAGUUCUUCUAAUUGUCAACAGAAACUAAAACUUUUGUUCAUUUGUAUAUAGAAUAUGCAUCUGUACACAUACAUACAAUAUGUGUGUGUAUAUAUAUAUAAAUAUGAACAAGCCUGAGCAUCAAGUACUAAUAGAUAAAGAAUUAAAACUAGUCUAAGUGUAAUCUCAUACAGGUUACAAUGUCUUAUGAGAAGCAGUUACUCAAAUAACCAUUUGGAGUCUUUAGGUUACUAACUUUCCAUGUCUGCUUUACUUCAAAACCUUGCAGAAGAAAUGUAAAGGGCUGCCAGAGCAGCGUUAAGUAAAGUGUGUGCAGACUUUUCAAGCUUUGCCUGUUUCCUGUGGGAGAUACCACAAUUCUCAAUUCCUGUGUCCCAAAUACAAAAUUGUCUUGGUGCUGUGGAUCACAGCAGUCUAUAUUGAAGCACGAGUUGAACAGAUAUAUAGGAAACUACGUGAUGUACAAAAAACACUUCUUCCUACUUUGAAUAGUUACAGGGAUGAACUGAAUAAAGGUAAUAUAAUAAAAGAACAAUACCUGGCAUCUUCCACUUGGAAAUCAAAAGCUAAAUGUCAUCCCCACUGUAGUUCUUACCAGAAGAAUUGUAUCUCAGUGUUUCAAUGUGUUCUGUGUAUUCUGACCCAAAUACCUGCGGCAGGCCCUCCUGCCUGA